CUGAGCUGGAAACCAAUUCAAAAAUGUGAUGGUUCAGUUGGUCAUAGAAGCGAGUAGACUCCUCUUGACUCAUCUCUCGGAGUUCCAUGGUGACAUAGUGCUGGAGCUCCUUGGCGGCUUUGGCCCUGGUUUCCUCAUUCCGGCUCUUUAGGCCACUGGCAAACUGCUGCAGGACGCUCACAUUGCUAGAUGUGGUGGCAGCGGUGGUGGCGGCGGCAGGUCCGGUUCCAAGCAUCUUGCCCUGAGGUUCGCGCGGCUUCGGCCAAGGCCUCAGCUGCCGCCGCCAGCACCGGUACCGCCGCUUC
This 305-nucleotide long non-coding RNA is filed under the name Homo sapiens (human). RNAcentral's name for it is "LNC_000042". Lineage: Eukaryota; Metazoa; Chordata; Mammalia; Primates; Hominidae. The record is from RNAcentral.